ACGGGGGGAGCAAGCGUUGUUCGGAAUCACUGGGCGUAAAGGGCGUGUAGGCGGUCAAGUAAGUGGAAUGUGAAAUGCCCCGGCUCACCCGGGGACCGGCAUCCCAAACUGCUUGGCUUGAGUAUGGGAGAGGAUGAGGGAAUUCCUGGUGUAGCGGUGAAAUGCGUAGAGAUCGUAAGGAAGACCAGUGGCGAAGGCGGGUCUCUGGACAGUUCCUGACACUGAGGCACGAAGGCCAGGGGAGCAAACGGGA
Molecule: ribosomal RNA, 253 nt
Filed under: uncultured prokaryote
Description: partial 16S ribosomal RNA
Rfam family: Bacterial small subunit ribosomal RNA
Source: RNAcentral